Molecule: ribosomal RNA, 376 nt
Filed under: uncultured bacterium
Lineage: Bacteria
Description: bacterial SSU rRNA
Rfam family: Bacterial small subunit ribosomal RNA
Source: RNAcentral
AACGUAGGAGGCGAGCGUUAUCCGGAUUUACUGGGCGUAAAGCGCGUGUAGGCGGCACGGCAAGUUGGAUGUGAAAGCUCCCGGCUUAACUGGGAGAGGUCGUUCAAAACUGCCGAGCUAGAGUGCGGGAGAGGGAGGUGGAAUUCCGGGUGUAGUGGUGAAAUGCGUAGAUAUCCGGAGGAACACCAGUGGCGAAAGCGGCCUCCUGGUCCGCAACUGACGCUCAGACGCGAAAGCUAGGGUAGCAAACGGGAUUAGAGACCCCGGUAGUCCUAGCUGUAAACGAUGUAGACUUGGCGUUGGUGGGUUCAAAUCCAUCAGUGCCGGAGCAAACGCGUUAAGUCUACCGCCUGGGGACUACGGCCGCAAGGUUAAA